RNAcentral lists this long non-coding RNA (256 nucleotides) under Capsicum annuum. RNAcentral describes it as "long non-coding RNA (CANN_LNC001587)". The record is from RNAcentral. Lineage: Eukaryota; Viridiplantae; Streptophyta; Magnoliopsida; Solanales; Solanaceae.
GGUGUGAUUCCUAGAAGCAAUCCUUGCAUUCCAAAACUACGUAGCCAGCGUAGGUUGAGAUGUCCCUACCUAUAGGGCUAAUGCAUCUCCUUUGAGUUUACCUGAUAGUAGGGUAGACAGAAUGAGCUUCAAAGUAGAAUAGGGUUUACUCACAUGUUGUCUCUACCCGUGGCACGGUAUUGACACCCUUCCAGAUGGGGUUAUAGGUUGUACCCCAACCAGUUCAGUUCCGGGGCAUGUCGGUUAGAUGAUUACC